Molecule: long non-coding RNA, 213 nt
Organism: Passer domesticus (house sparrow)
Lineage: Eukaryota; Metazoa; Chordata; Aves; Passeriformes; Passeridae
Exons: 3
Source: RefSeq, a predicted model, not a curated record
GCUGUUGGAUCCCCUGGAGUUAUUAAAUCUGGACUUAACCACAGCUGGAGUCCGUCUCUUUGUCUCCUGUUGGGAUCCUCAGACAAAACCCACUGGAUGUCAUAGAUGACUCUGCCUUCUUCAAGCUGCCCUCAGUGCGCGCUCUAGACCUGAAUGCCACCCAAGUGACCCCGCAGACGCUGCUGCAGCUGCUACAGACCACAGUGAUCUUGG